Molecule: long non-coding RNA, 1349 nt
Organism: Mytilus californianus (California mussel)
Lineage: Eukaryota; Metazoa; Mollusca; Bivalvia; Mytilida; Mytilidae
Exons: 3
Source: RefSeq, a predicted model, not a curated record
UAUUUAGAGAAUCAAUGAAGCGGGCCCCCUCUUUAUGCAUGACAGUUAGUGCCUCCUUAUGACAUUUUUUGGAUCCGCAACUGGUGAGGACUUCAUAAAAAAUUAUUAAGUAAGUUUGUGUUUUGUGAUAAAUAAUGUAUUUAGACAGAAAUAGGAUAAAAUAAACUACCGAAAGCUUUAGUAUGGAUGGGGGUUAACAGAAUAGAGAAUAACGGGCAAACAAUAAAGAUUAAAGAAUAAUGAAAUGCUAAAAUAUGAGGAAAGAGAGUAAUGAGCAAAAAGUGUAAGUUUGUAGAAAUAUAGCAAAAAAAAAAUAAAGAACACAGAAAAAGAAGACCCCCCCAAGAUCCUGACUUCAACUUUUACGCUGCUGGGAUAUUUUUUAGACAAAGUGCACGUAUUAGUAGUCAGCCGAAACCACUAAGCGUUUUGCAUCCAUACGGGUUUUUUUUUCGGGAUACUGACUGCAUAGUAAACUAUCAAUGUACUAGUUAAUGUUCUCGAGGGAUGACCCUAUUACAGAGACAUAUAUACACAUAUGUGUAAAUAUGUCUCUGCCCUAUUACGUGUCAGUAACCUCCUCGACACGGUUCAUUUUUACGGCGGCUCAGUUUUGUCUUAAGAAUAAACAUAAUUGAUAAGUUUCUUUCCCCUGCAUUUUUCGAUCGCACUUGUAAAUAGCACAUUGGUCUCAAUUAAGACAUUGGUUACAACACUUGCCGUCAGUACUCAAAAUUGGAAAAAUAUUAAAUAAGAAGGUUGCCAGCAAGAUGAAAAGAACAAUGCAGUUCAAAAGUCAAAAUGUGGAUAAGCUGCGGUACAAAGUCCAACUUUUGCAGAUUUUCAUAUUUUGCAUGAAUGAAUUUGAAGUUUAUAUCCUGGAGGGCAGAGAAAGAAAAGAAACACUUCAGUUUUCCUGCUUCUGAAGGAUAAAUGUAAAACAUCUUGUUUGAAGGAUUGGAAUUCAUCACUGAGAAUAGAAGGAGAAAACACAGAAACAAGACCAAAAUAAAUUCAAAGACAAAAGUCAGAUCAGUUAUUAUUUUCAUCACUCAGCCAAUGAAUUGCAGUUCUAUUAAAUAUCUAAAGAUAUUAAAACCACAAUAAUGACAAUGUUCUGUGCUGAAUGGCAAAAAAGUGGACUAUACAUUACGAUCACACAAUGCUGGAUGAUAAGAAACUAUUAAUUUUUUGGGUGGAGGGAUAUCCUGAAAAAAAAAUAGAUUUAUGUAAAAAGCUACUAGUAUGUUAAGCCUAUUAAUAGAGUUUUCAUUGAUUUCAAAUGGGAAAAAAUUGUGUUUCAAAAAAGUGUUCUAGAAUUCAUAAAUAAACAUAUAUUGAUACUUACA